AACGAACGCUGGCGGCAGGCCUCAAACAUGCAAGUCUAGGGGGUGCAGCAAUGCAUCACCGGCGGACGGGUGCGUAACGCGUGGGAAUAUACCUAUUGGUUCGGAACAACUGCGGGAAACUGCAGCUAAUACCGAAUGUGCCCGCAAGGGGAAAGAUUUAUCGCCAAUGGAUUAGCCCGCGUAGGAUUAGCUAGUUGGUGGGGUAACGGCCCACCAAGGCUCCGAUCCUUAGCNGUUCUGAGAGGAAGAUCAGCCACACUGGGACUGAGACACGGCCCAGACUCCUACGGGAGGCAGCAGUUGGGAAUCUUGGACAAUGGGGGAAACCCUGAUCCAGCCAUGCCGCGUGAGUGAUGAAGGCCUUC
This 365-nucleotide ribosomal RNA is filed under the name uncultured bacterium. RNAcentral describes it as "bacterial SSU rRNA". It matches the Rfam family "Bacterial small subunit ribosomal RNA", at positions 29 to 419 of the family's 1533-position model. The record is from RNAcentral.